CGGCGGCGGCUCGUCCCUGAGCUGGAAGCUGGAGAGCAAGCCCCGAAGUUCACUGUUUCAAGAAAUCGUGUAAUGCUACAUUAAUCAGAGAAAGGAAGGAUCCUGAAACUUACGGCCUGAUUGUUGGCAAUGACAUCGUUAAGAGGCUGGCACUCAUUUGUGUUCUAAAUAGCUACUUUAGAACUGUGAAUAGUAACUAUGCAUAUUUGUUGGUCAGCAAAACCAAGGAACAAGAGCUAUGGCAGUUGAAAAAGUCUGUCUAAUUCCAGGGUAUUUUUCCUGGGUGUCAUCAUCAGGGACCUCUUCCCUUUCAUCUCAUCAACAGUGUG
RNAcentral lists this long non-coding RNA (329 nucleotides) under Equus asinus (donkey). Its description in RNAcentral is "lncRNA (ENSEASG00005033112.1)". Lineage: Eukaryota; Metazoa; Chordata; Mammalia; Perissodactyla; Equidae. The record is from RNAcentral.